Molecule: long non-coding RNA, 109 nt
Organism: Amblyraja radiata (thorny skate)
Lineage: Eukaryota; Metazoa; Chordata; Chondrichthyes; Rajiformes; Rajidae
Exons: 3
Source: RefSeq, a predicted model, not a curated record
CUGUAUUUCUAAAAUAAACCAGAGGACAUAGGUUUAAGGUGCCAGGGAAAGAUUGAAUUGGAACCCGAGAGGUAACUUGUUCACACAAAGGGUGAUGGGUAUAUGGUGC